AGAUGGAUUAGUGGCGCACGGGUGAGUAACGCAUAGAUAACAUGCCCUUUAGUCUAGGAUAGCCACUGGAAACGGUGAUUAAUACUGGAUACUCCUUACGAGGGAAAGAAUUUCGCUAAAGGAUUGGUCUAUGUCCUAUCAGCUUGUUGGUGAGGUAAUGGCUUACCAAGGCUAUGACGGGUAUCCGGCCUGAGAGGGUGAACGGACACACUGGAACUGAGACACGGUCCAGACUCCUACGGGAGGCAGCAGUAGGGAAUAUUGCUCAAUGGGGGAAACCCUGAAGCAGCAACGUCGCGUGGAGGAUGAAGGUCUUAGGAUUGUAAACUCCUUUUGUUAGAGAAGAUA
Molecule: ribosomal RNA, 348 nt
Filed under: uncultured Helicobacter sp.
Lineage: Bacteria; Pseudomonadati; Campylobacterota; Epsilonproteobacteria; Campylobacterales; Helicobacteraceae
Description: bacterial SSU rRNA
Rfam family: Bacterial small subunit ribosomal RNA
Source: RNAcentral